RNAcentral lists this ribosomal RNA (766 nucleotides) under uncultured bacterium. RNAcentral's name for it is "bacterial SSU rRNA". It matches the Rfam family "Bacterial small subunit ribosomal RNA", at positions 49 to 826 of the family's 1533-position model. The record is from RNAcentral.
CUAUACAUGCAGUCGAACGGAGAGCCUUGGUAUUCGUACUGAGGUUCUUAGUGGCGAACGGGUGAGUAACGCGUUGGUGACCUACCCCGAAGCGGGGGACAACUCCGGGAAACUGGAGCUAAUACCCCAUGAUGUCACGAGGGUUAGAGACCUGGUGACGAAAGGCUUUGGUCGCUUCGGGAGGGGCCUGCGUCCCAUCAGCUAGUUGGUAGGGUAAAAGCCUACCAAGGCGACGACGGGUAGGGGGCCUGAGAGGGUGACCCCCCACAAUGGAACUGAAACACGGUCCAUACACCUACGGGUGGCAGCAGUAGGGAAUAUUGCACAAUGGGCGAAAGCCUGAUGCAGCAACGCCGCGGGCGCGAUGAAGGCCUUCGGGUUGUAAAGCGCUUUUCGGGGAGAUGAGGAAGGACAGUAUCCCCGGAAUAAGGAUCGGCUAACUACGUGCCAGCAGCCGCGGUAAAACGUAGGAUCCGAGCGUUAUCCGAAUUCACUGGGCGUAAAGCGCGUGCAGGCGGUCGGGUGAGUUGGAUGUGAAAGCUCCUGGCUCAACUGGGAGAGGACGUUCAAUACUGCCUGGCUAGAGGACGGUAGAGGGAGGUGGAAUUCCCGGUGUAGUGGUGAAAUGCGUAGAUAUCGGGAGGAACACCAGUGGCGAAGGCGGCCUCCUGGACCGUACCUGACGCUCAGACGCGAAAGCUAGGGGAGCGAACGGGAUUAGAAACCCCGGUAGUCCUAGCUGUAAACGAUGUAGACUGGGUGUCGG